UUGACCUCGAAUCAGGUGGGACUACCC
This 27-nucleotide ribosomal RNA is filed under the name uncultured fungus. RNAcentral describes it as "partial 28S ribosomal RNA". Lineage: Eukaryota; Fungi. The record is from RNAcentral.